This 17-nucleotide unclassified non-coding RNA is filed under the name Mus musculus (house mouse). Its description in RNAcentral is "oocyte_clustered_small_RNA6401". Lineage: Eukaryota; Metazoa; Chordata; Mammalia; Rodentia; Muridae. The record is from RNAcentral.
UGGUGUAGAUUUGAUGA